AUGAAGGGUGCUGCGAGGGACGAGCACAAGAAGCCGGCAGAGGAGGAGAACAAUACUCCGGCGUGGGAGGAUGUGGAUCCGGCGAGAAAGCAGGUCCAAGCGCGCUCUAUUGAUGCGGGAGAGGUGCAGCAGCUGUAUGGUGCCGCUGAGAAGAUCCACCCUGGGGUUGAUGCACAGCCGGAAGGCGAGGACUGCGACGACCACAAAAAGAAGGGGCAGGUCUUCUAUCCUUCAGACCGGGUACCGACCACUAAAAUUGACGAUGAAGAUUGCUUGGCAAGAUGA
Molecule: ribosomal RNA, 285 nt
Filed under: Triticum aestivum (bread wheat)
Lineage: Eukaryota; Viridiplantae; Streptophyta; Magnoliopsida; Poales; Poaceae
Description: partial small subunit ribosomal RNA
Source: RNAcentral